RNAcentral lists this long non-coding RNA (1551 nucleotides) under Homo sapiens (human). RNAcentral's name for it is "HSALNT0292425". The record is from RNAcentral. Lineage: Eukaryota; Metazoa; Chordata; Mammalia; Primates; Hominidae.
GUACCGAGGCAGUGUACCAGGAAAAAAAGAGGAAUGGAUGCAGAGUAUCCUAGCAACUUCCAAAGGGACAAUGGGUGGGCGUUACGGCAUUGAUGACAUUAUGAGUCAUCUCACUGACUCUUGUGAGCCCAGAGAGAUCCAAUGCAGGGUGCCUCACUCCAUGCUCAAGUCACAGAUGUACCCGCCUUCAUCUGACUGAUACAGGCUAGAGCCAAUAUUCAAGGCCUGGUCAUUUUCCUCGCAAGGUGCCCAUUUCCUCUCAUGCCGUGCUUCCCUAACAGGAGGCUCCAGAGAGGCACCAACAGGACACCUGGGCUUCUUGCUGAUUAAUCUCGCAGUGUUAAACACUUCUGCGGAAUAAAACAAUGAUGUCAACAAACAAAAUGGAGAAUAUCUUGAAUUCAACAACUGUGCACAGGAGAGAAGACUGUAUUUUUGGUUUGGAACACUGUCAAAAGGUGUUCACUAUUUUGGAAAAUGGCAGUGCCUGACAUCCCUGACAGAAGCGCUUCUCAUGGUGGUGUAGCCACAUGACACUUCUGUAUUAGCCUGGACUUACAGCUGUGGCUUUCAGUAGUGAUUCUACUUACAGUAAAAGGUAGGCUCUCUGUCUGUUGUGUGGACUAGCACAUCCCAAGCACCUACACAGGACCUGGAACAUAGAGGGCACCUGAUGAAUACACUGAGGCACAAAGAAGUUUAAAUAACCCACCCAAGGUCCCACCGCUGUUUUACAGCCUCCCAGAGAGCGGUCUUCCAAUCUCUGUUCAUGAAUUACAGAAUAAUGAAGUCUUAGAUGGGAAAUAACCUGAAAAACGUCCUCGUCUGUCCUCUUCACUUCUCCUACCCACGUAAUAACGAGUGGAUUAUUCUGGACAGUAGUUUUCAUACUACCUUCUCUGGAUCUCUUUCCUUCUAGAACUUUCUAUCUUUCAGAGUUAGUAGGUGGGGGGGCUUCACCUACUAGUAGGUUUUGAGGCUCCAACUCAGCUUCAACUAUAUCUCCUCUUUCAUCUGUUUAUAUAGCAGGAUACCAGGCAUGUUUCAUUUGAAUAAUUUUGGAAAAAGUUUGAAGGCUACUCUUCCAGAGGACCAGUGGCCUGCAUUGUAGCAGAGAGACGGGGUGAUCACUGUUAUUCAGACAUGCUUUCUUUACAACACACAACUGAGCAAACAAGACAGCAGGCAACUGCAUAUGCGACCACUUAUCCCUUUCCCGAUUUGCAUUUGUGGAAAACAAGUUUCAGAUUUAACAGCGAGUCUUUUACAACUCUGCUUGACUCCAUUAAUGACAGCUCAGUUUUUCAACGUUGCAAGAAAAAGAGCCAGAUAUCAUUCAGAGUGAUAAUGUGACAACCCAAAUGUGAGUCCUGGACUGAGAACAGAACGGAAGAUGAAAGGAAUUAAUGCUGUCUUUGGCUAGAACCUGAAGACAGCAGGUGGAAAGGCUGAUGUACAAACAGUCUUAGAAGUUAGAGACGUACUUUGGGAGGCCGAGGCAGGCAGAUCACGAGGUCAGGAGAUCGAGAUCAUCCUGGCUAACACGGUGAA